RNAcentral lists this ribosomal RNA (301 nucleotides) under uncultured bacterium. RNAcentral describes it as "partial 16S ribosomal RNA". It matches the Rfam family "Bacterial small subunit ribosomal RNA", at positions 509 to 807 of the family's 1533-position model. The record is from RNAcentral.
CAGUAGCCGCGGUAAUACGAAGGGGGCUAGCGUUGUUCGGAAUCACUGGGCGUAAAGCGCACGUAGGCGGACACUUAAGUCAGAGGUGAAAUCCCAAGGCUCAACCUUGGAACUGCCUUUGAUACUGGGUGUCUUGAGUUCGGGAGAGGUGAGUGGAACUGCGAGUGUAGAGGUGAAAUUCGUAGAUAUUCGCAAGAACACCAGUGGCGAAGGCGGCUCACUGGCCCGAUACUGACGCUGAGGUGCGAAAGCGUGGGGAGCAAACAGGAUUAGAUACCCCUGUAGUCCCUGUCUCUUAUAC